GGACGAUUAGCUCAGUUGGUUAGAGCGCCACGUUGACAUCGUGGAGGUCACAAGUUCGAGUCUUGUAUCGUCCA
Molecule: transfer RNA, 74 nt
Filed under: Planctomycetaceae bacterium
Lineage: Bacteria; Pseudomonadati; Planctomycetota; Planctomycetia; Planctomycetales; Planctomycetaceae
Also listed under: 3 other names
Description: tRNA-Val
Rfam family: tRNA
About the family: Transfer RNA (tRNA) molecules are approximately 80 nucleotides in length.
Source: RNAcentral